Molecule: non-coding RNA, 25 nt
Filed under: Cricetulus griseus (Chinese hamster)
Lineage: Eukaryota; Metazoa; Chordata; Mammalia; Rodentia; Cricetidae
Source: RNAcentral
GAUACUGCCGUACAUGAACUGGGGG